Molecule: ribosomal RNA, 690 nt
Filed under: uncultured Bacteroidales bacterium
Lineage: Bacteria; Pseudomonadati; Bacteroidota; Bacteroidia; Bacteroidales
Description: bacterial SSU rRNA
Rfam family: Bacterial small subunit ribosomal RNA
Source: RNAcentral
AACGCUAGCUACAGGCUUAACACAUGCAAGUCGAGGGGCAGCACUAGGUAGCAAUACUGAGGUGGCGACCGGCGCACGGGUGCGUAACGCGUAUCCAACCUUCCCGUUACUCUUGGAUAGCCUUCCGAAAGGGAGAUUAAUACAAGAUGGUAUUCAAAUUCCGCAUGUUAUUUGAAUUAAAGAUUAAUCGGUAACGGAUGGGGAUGCGUGACAUUAGGUAGAUGGCGGGGUAACGGCCCACCAUGCCUACGAUGUCUAGGGGUUCUGAGAGGAAGGUCCCCCACACUGGAACUGAGACACGGUCCAGACUCCUACGGGAGGCAGCAGUGAGGAAUAUUGGUCAAUGGUCGGAAGACCGAACCAGCCAAGUAGCGUGAAGGAUGAAGGUUCCAUGGAUUGUAAACUUCUUUUAUACGGGAAUAAAACACCUUACGUGUAGGGUCUUGUAUGUACCGUAAGAAUAAGCAUCGGCUAACUCCGUGCCAGCAGCCGCGGUAAUACGGAGGAUGCGAGCGUUAUCCGGAUUUAUUGGGUUUAAAGGGAGCGUAGACGGGAUGUUAAGUCAGUUGUGAAAGGCUGCGGCUCAACCGCAGCACUGCAGUUGAUACUGGCGUCCUUGAGUGCGGUUGAGGUAUGUGGAAUUCGUGGUGUAGCGGUGAAAUGCUUAGAUAUCACGAAGAACUCCGAUUG